RNAcentral lists this ribosomal RNA (907 nucleotides) under Cortinarius diaphorus. Its description in RNAcentral is "partial large subunit ribosomal RNA". It matches the Rfam family "Eukaryotic large subunit ribosomal RNA", at positions 40 to 935 of the family's 3401-position model. Lineage: Eukaryota; Fungi; Basidiomycota; Agaricomycetes; Agaricales; Cortinariaceae. The record is from RNAcentral.
AUAUCAUAAGCGAGGAAAAGAAACUAACAAGGAUUCCCCUAGUAACUGCGAGUGAAGCGGGAAAAGCUCAAAUUUAAAAUCUGACAGUCUUUGGCUGUCCGAGUUGUAAUCUAGAGAAGUGUUAUCCGCGCUGGACCGUGUACAAGUCUCCUGGAAUGGAGCGUCAUAGAGGGUGAGAAUCCCGUCUUUGACACGGACUGCCAGGGCUUUGUGAUGCACUCUCAAAGAGUCGAGUUGUUUGGGAAUGCAGCUCAAAAUGGGUGGUAAAUUCCAUCUAAAGCUAAAUAUUGGCGAGAGACCGAUAGCGAACAAGUACCGUGAGGGAAAGAUGAAAAGAACUUUGGAAAGAGAGUUAAACAGUACGUGAAAUUGCUGAAAGGGAAACGCUUGAAGUCAGUCGCGUUGUCCAGGGAUCAACCUUGCUUUUGCUUGGUGUACUUUCUGGUUGACGGGUCAGCAUCAAUUUUGACUAUUGGAAAAAGAUUAGGGGAAUGUGGCAUCUUUGGAUGUGUUAUAGCCCUUGGUUGUAUACAAUGGUUGGGAUUGAGGAACUCAGCAUGCCGCAAGGCCGGGUUUUUAACCACGUACGUGCUUAGGAUGCUGGCAUAAUGGCUUUAAUCGACCCGUCUUGAAACACGGACCAAGGAGUCUAACAUGCCUGCGAGUGUUUGGGUGGAAAACCCGAGCGCGUAAUGAAAGUGAAAGUUGAGAUCCCUGUCGUAGGGAGCAUCGACGCCCGGACCAGACCUUUUGUGACGGUUCCGCGGUAGAGCAUGUAUGUUGGGACCCGAAAGAUGGUGAACUAUGCCUGAAUAGGGUGAAGCCAGAGGAAACUCUGGUGGAGGCUCGUAGCGAUUCUGACGUGCAAAUCGAUCGUCAAAUUUGGGUAUAGGGGCGAAAGACUAAU